Molecule: long non-coding RNA, 334 nt
Filed under: Homo sapiens (human)
Lineage: Eukaryota; Metazoa; Chordata; Mammalia; Primates; Hominidae
Description: HSALNT0173865
Source: RNAcentral
CCCCCAGCCGCUCUCACAGGUUUGUUAUGUAACCGCCGGGCCAGCCCCGCCCUCAGGGUGGGCUGAGGUGCGGCUCCCUGGAGACCCCGCCCGCUAGCCGGGAGCCAGCGGCGCAGUGCGAGUUCAGCCCGCUUUCUUCGCGCUCCGCGUCAAAUCUCUCCAGCUCUGUUCUCGCAUCCCGGGUUUAGAUCCCGCAGAGUUAAGUAUCCCGCGUGUGAAGGGAUGAACUGAGACUCCCAGAGGGCAUAACUGAUGGAGGCACGAAGAUGUCUGCUCUUCAGCUUUGCCAAGGUUGAACACAUUGUGAGUAGAAGAUCUCUUUCCCCAGGAAAUA